This 811-nucleotide ribosomal RNA is filed under the name Segatella copri. RNAcentral's name for it is "partial 23S ribosomal RNA". It matches the Rfam family "Bacterial large subunit ribosomal RNA", at positions 1 to 816 of the family's 2925-position model. Lineage: Bacteria; Pseudomonadati; Bacteroidota; Bacteroidia; Bacteroidales; Prevotellaceae. The record is from RNAcentral.
AAGAAAGUAAGAAAGGGCGUAUGGCGGAUGCCUAGGCUCACGGAGGCGAUGAAGGACGUGAUAAGCUGCGAUAAGCUUCGGGUAGGUGCAAAUAACCCUUGAUCCGGAGAUUUCCGAAUGGGACAACCUAGCCGUCUGAAGGACGGUUACUCAAUCUUCAAGGUUGAGAGCUAACGCAGGGAACUGAAACAUCUUAGUACCUGUAGGAAGAGAAAAUAAAUGAAUGAUUCCCCCAGUAGUGGCGAGCGAACGGGGAACAGCCCAAACCGUUGACGUCGCAAGGCGCCAGCGGGGUUGUAGGACCGCGACAUUGUAUGCAAAUCGUGAACAGAACACUUUGGAAAAUGUGACCAUAGACGGUGAUAGUCCAGUAUGUGAAGCGAAAUGCAGCAUAGCGGUAUCCUGAGUAACGCGGGACACGAGGAAUCCUGCGCGAAUCUGCCGGGACCAUCCGGUAAGGCUAAAUACUCCCGUGAGACCGAUAGCGAACGAGUACUGUGAAGGAAAGGUGAAAAGAACCCCGAGCAGGGGAGUGAAAUAGUUCCUGAAACCAUACGCCUACAAGCGGUCGGAGCAUCUUACGAUGUGACGGCGUGCCUUUUGCAUAAUGAUCCUACGAGUUACCGUCACUGGCGAGGUUGAGUGUCACGAGACACGUAGCCGCAGUGAAAGCGAGCCUGAAUAGGGCGCAUAGUCAGUGGGGGUAGACGCGAAACCAAGUGAUCUACACUUGGCCAGGAUGAAGUCCCGGUAACACGGGAUGGAGGUCCGCACCAAUAAGCGUUGAAAAGCUUCUGGAUGAGCCGAGUGU